Xenopus tropicalis (tropical clawed frog) is the source of this 84-nucleotide non-coding RNA. NCBI's taxonomy places the organism in Eukaryota, Metazoa, Chordata, Amphibia, Anura, Pipidae. The record is from Rfam.
AGCUGGUGUUGACAGGCAGAGACAGGAGCAACUGCUGGUGUGCCUUGGUAGCAUUGCACUUGUCUCGGUCUGACAGUGUCGGCA